This is a long non-coding RNA of Ipomoea nil (Japanese morning glory), 614 nucleotides long. RefSeq lists it as uncharacterized. The record is from RefSeq and is a predicted model, not a curated record. The transcript is spliced from 2 exons. NCBI's taxonomy places the organism in Eukaryota, Viridiplantae, Streptophyta, Magnoliopsida, Solanales, Convolvulaceae.
AUACAACCUUAGCUAGCCACCUUAGCUUCAACAAUAUUUUCACUUUCUUCUAUAUAUACUAGCUUCAAUAUAAAAACCCUAUUUAUAGAUAUAGAUAUAUAGAUAUAUAGAUAUAUCAUAUAUGGGCAGUAGGAGUAUUAAUAAGGGUUUUGUGGUGGUGAUAGGAGUGGUUAUGUGGUUGUUAAUGGUGGCUGCAGCCUUACAAAACCUGGAAAGAGGAAGCAUGAAGGAGGAUAUCAGAAACUUCCAUAGGAGAAUGGAUCUUAUCAACUUCAUCAGCAAAAGAAGAGUUCCAAAUGGAUCUGACCCUAUCCAUAACAGAAAAGCGGGAAACUCUCGACGACCACCUGGCCAAGCUUUCGCAGGAGAGUUCAACAUGCCAUGAUCUACUUCGUCACAUGUAGAAGGAUAUAUAUAUAUAUAUAUAUAUAUAUAUAUAUAUAUAUAUAGUUUGAAUGUAUGUAGUUUAUGGAAUCCGGGCAGCUUGUUGAAUUUGUUUUGUUUUAAACUCGAUUAUAAUUUUCAUAUGUCAGGGGUUAAUUCUGUUGAUGAACACAAAAUAUAGUAAACUUUACAAAAGAAAUUGAAAUAUGAUGAGGAUUUUAAUCCUCUGA